GUGAAAGGCCAAUCAAACCGGGAGAUAGCUGGUUCUCCCCGAAAGCUAUUUAGGUAGCGCCUCGUGAAUUCAUCUCCGGGGGUAGAGCACUGUUUCGGCUAGGGGGCCAUCCCGGCUUACCAACCCGAUGCAAACUGCGAAUACCGGAGAAUGUUAUCACGGGAGACACACGGCGGGUGCUAACGUCCGUCGUGAAGAGGGAAACAACCCAGACCGCCAGCUAAGGUCCCAAAGUCAUGGUUAAGUGGGAAACGAUGUGGGAAGGCCCAGACAGCCAGGAUGUUGGCUUAGAAGCAGCCAUCAUUUAAAGAAAGCGUAAUAGCUCACUGGUCGAGUCGGCCUGCGCGGAAGAUGUAACGGGGCUAAACCAUGCACCGAAGCUGCGGCAGCGACACUUUAGUGUUGUUGGGUAGGGGAGCGUUCUGUAAGCCGUUGAAGGUGUCCUGUGAGGGGUGCUGGAGGUAUCAGAAGUGCGAAUGCUGACAUAAGUAACGAUAAAGCGGGUGAAAAGCCCGCUCGCCGGAAGACCAAGGGUUCCUGUCCAACGUUAAUCGGGGCAGGGUGAGUCGACCCCUAAGGCGAGGCCGAAAGGCGUAGUCGAUGGGAAACGGGUUAAUAUUCCCGUACUUGGUGUUACUGCGAAGGGGGGACGGAGAAGG
This 659-nucleotide ribosomal RNA is filed under the name Salmonella enterica. RNAcentral describes it as "partial 23S ribosomal RNA". It matches the Rfam family "Bacterial large subunit ribosomal RNA", at positions 821 to 1481 of the family's 2925-position model. Lineage: Bacteria; Pseudomonadati; Pseudomonadota; Gammaproteobacteria; Enterobacterales; Enterobacteriaceae. The record is from RNAcentral.